Molecule: ribosomal RNA, 514 nt
Filed under: uncultured bacterium
Lineage: Bacteria
Description: partial 16S ribosomal RNA
Rfam family: Bacterial small subunit ribosomal RNA
Source: RNAcentral
GAUGAACGCUGGCGGCGUGCCUAAUACAUGCAAGUCGAGCGAACAGAUGAGAAGCUUGCUUCUCUGAUGUUAGCGGCGGACGGGUGAGUAACACGUGGGUAACCUACCUAUAAGACUGGGAUAACUCCGGGAAACCGGGGCUAAUACCGGAUAAUAUUUUGAACCGCAUGGUUCAAUAGUGAAAGACGGUUUCGGCUGUCACUUAUAGAUGGACCCGCGCCGUAUUAGCUAGUUGGUAAGGUAACGGCUUACCAAGGCGACGAUACGUAGCCGACCUGAGAGGGUGAUCGGCCCCACUGGAACUGAGACACGGUCCAGACUCCUACGGGAGGCAGCAGUAGGGAAUCUUCCGCAAUGGGCGAAAGCCUGACGGAGCAACGCCGCGUGAGUGAUGAAGGUCUUCGGAUCGUAAAACUCUGUUGUUAGGGAAGAACAAAUUUGUUAGUAACUGAACAAAUCUUGACGGUACCUAACCAGAAGGCCACGGCUAACUACGUGCCAGCAGCCGCCGUAA